GACGAACGCUGGCGGCGUGCUUAACACAUGCAAGUCGAACGGAAAGGCCCUGCUUUUGUGGGGUGCUCGAGUGGCGAACGGGGGAGUAACACGUGAGUAACCUGCCCUUGACUUUGGGAGAACUUCAGGAAACUGGGGCUAAUACCGGAUAGGAGCUCCUGCUGCAUGGUGGGGGUGGGUAAGUUUCGGCGGUUGGGGAUGGACUCGCGGCUUAUCAGCUUGUGGGUUGGGUAGUGGCUUACCAAGGCUUUGACGGGUAGCAGGCCUGGGAGGGUGACCGGCCCCAUUGGGACUGGGAUGCGGCCCGGACUCCUACGGGCGGCAGCGGUGGGGAAUAUUGCACAAUGGGCGGAAGCCUGAUGCAGCAACGCCGCGUGGGGGAUGACGGCCUUCGGGUUGUAAACCGCUUUCGCCUGUGACGAAGCGUGAGUGACGGUAAUGGGUAAAGAAGCACCGGCUAACUACGUG
This 468-nucleotide ribosomal RNA is filed under the name uncultured bacterium. Its description in RNAcentral is "partial 16S ribosomal RNA". It matches the Rfam family "Bacterial small subunit ribosomal RNA", at positions 28 to 507 of the family's 1533-position model. The record is from RNAcentral.